RNAcentral lists this transfer RNA (68 nucleotides) under Tragelaphus strepsiceros (greater kudu). RNAcentral describes it as "tRNA-Cys". It matches the Rfam family "tRNA". From Rfam's summary of the family: Transfer RNA (tRNA) molecules are approximately 80 nucleotides in length. Their secondary structure includes four short double-helical elements and three loops (D, anti-codon, and T loops). The record is from RNAcentral. Lineage: Eukaryota; Metazoa; Chordata; Mammalia; Artiodactyla; Bovidae.
GGCUCCGUGGUGAAUUUACACGUUGAAUUGCAAAUUCAGAGAAGCAGCUUUAAAUUCUGCCGGGGCUU